RNAcentral lists this unclassified non-coding RNA (248 nucleotides) under Micarea alabastrites. RNAcentral's name for it is "partial contains 5.8S ribosomal RNA, internal transcribed spacer 2, and large subunit ribosomal RNA". The record is from RNAcentral. Lineage: Eukaryota; Fungi; Ascomycota; Lecanoromycetes; Lecanorales; Micareaceae.
CGCACAUUGCGCUCCUCGGUAUUCCGGGGAGCAUGCCUGUUCGAGCGUCAUUGCACCUCUCAAGCAUAGCUUGGUAUUGGAUUUUCGUCCUCUAAAAUGGAUGUGUCCGAAAGCGAGUGGCGGUCGAGUCUGACUUCAAGCGUAGUAAAAUAUCCCGCUUUAGAAGAUCAGAUUGUGAUCCUGCCAAAACCUUCAUAAUUUUUUCAAUGAUUGACCUCGGAUCAGGUAGGGAUACCCGCUGAACUUAA